This is a long non-coding RNA of Belonocnema kinseyi, 571 nucleotides long. RefSeq lists it as uncharacterized. The record is from RefSeq and is a predicted model, not a curated record. NCBI's taxonomy places the organism in Eukaryota, Metazoa, Arthropoda, Insecta, Hymenoptera, Cynipidae. The transcript is spliced from 3 exons.
ACCCGUUAUCAAUGUUAAAUGUUAUAAAUUAAUUAAUUUGUAGUAAACCGGAUCGAUGAAGAAGCUUUCAAACUUCUACAAAAGAACAGAUUAAAGAUUUGAUUGUGCCCAUGGGUGAUCGGAGUAAAUUUGAACACAAGUAUAAAAAUUAUAUAAACAAACUGACUCAACCUACGGACGUGAAUUUUGUGGAAUAGACGAUACGCUGAAUGGGAAUAUUGACAAUUCUGGUCAGAAACCUAACAAUGAAGUUAAUUUAAUAACCAUUCCUGCAAGCCCAAGCACUUCUCACGUCUCUUACACGUCUACUGUUCCCGUUUCACUUUUAUUUGAGCAAAAUAUUGUUGAAGUUAUUUUGAACUCCUCAUUUAGAGGCAGGGAAGUAUUAGCAACAUAUAAAUACAAUCAAGCACGCGAUUACCAAAAGCUGUCGUCUAUCUUGAUUGAACAUGCUUUCGAACCAGAUCCAGAUACAAGAAUCGAUAGUUUAACUUGGAAAACGUGGGCCAACUGCUGUAGUGCACUUUUCCCCACUGAAUCUCCGGAUAUUUCUUACAAUAAAUCCAAAGAA